CGUGUCAUGCUUAAGAUCUGCAGUGAAAGCAACGGGAUACCAAAAGUUCUUCAAGUGUGGACUAUAAGGCUGAACGGGACCAGAAACAUUCAAGCUUUUCCCACCAACCCUGUCUGAGUCCUGGACUGAGGUUGAAUAGGAAGGUCUGUCUGAUUCUGUCGCAACUCUAACUGGUAAUAACCUAUCAUUAACCAAUUCUUCCAUGUGAGCUAACUUUUCUAGAGCAGUUGAAACCCUCGCUUCUGAUAUAUGAACCUGUUUUAGAUUUUGACUAAGAGUUAGAACAAGUGAGCACCAAUAUAAAAAAAAAAACGCAAUUCUUAAGAACAUGUUGGUGUGCUUUCGCGAGUUCUUCCUGCAAUCCAGCAAGUUCUUUCUUCACAGUACCAAUAGACUUGUACUCACGAGCUAGAGGAUUCAGUACAUCAACGACCUGAGAGAUACAAUCAGUUAACUAAUAUGCUGAGAGGUCAAUGUAGAUGAUAGAUACUGUGGUGAGAAACAAACCUUGUCGUGAAGGAGCAUGAUGGUAAGAAGAUCUUGACGAGCACGCCAAUCCAGAUAUUGGAUAUCGAGCCUAGCAACUUCAAGCGCUUGGUUUACAUCCAUGAACUUGCCUUUGCCUUUAUAAGGAGGAGGAGGAGUUUUUGAUCUAGGAUCCUCCACAUCAAACAAAUGCCCCCAUUGAUUCUUUUUCUCAACUAACCCACUAUCUUCCCCAAACACAGCAAAAACCCUGAACUCUCCCUGAGAAACAAACAAUAAUCAUUCAAAAAUGAAACCUUUUCUAAUGCCACAACAAAAACCCAAGAUCUCAAAAACAGAUGUCAAGUAAAGUUACACCUUCUUUCUGGUGACUUGAGAUGAUCUAGUUUUACAGAAGGAUAUGGGUAGAGAUAAAGCAGAAGACGUAAACACGGCGGCGUUCAUGGCGUCGUCACCGGAAGGAACGAAAGAGAUAAUAGACAAAGAGAUUAGAGAGACAAAAGGGAUUUUACUUUUUUAUUAAUUCGAAUUUUUUGUUGAUAAGAGAAGCGAGUUCUUCGCGAUCUAAGCAAACCUCCGAAAAGAUGACACGUGUACAAACAUUGCCAAUGAAGAUGUACAUGUGGCGGUACUAUCAUCCACAUGAUGAUGAAGAUGGAUUUGCCAGCUCGGAUUCUCCGAGAUAUCUUUGGCUAUCUUUUGUUUUUCGAAUUCUUACUGUUUUUUGUCAUUUUCCUUCUUUGGUUUUCCAUCACUAGUUUCUUUUGGCGAAAAACAUUUGUUUUUAGAACAUCUCCGAUCCCUAGCUAUUUUCACUUCUAUAUGCUAUAAUAGAGGAAAAAAUAGCAUUUAUCUAUUAUAGAGUCAUACUUUUUUAUUUUUAAAAUAGUCUUUUAACUUUCAAAUUUUUUAUAGUUGUAACUAAAAUAAUUAUAUUUAUAGAAAAAUACAGCUUUUGUAGGAAUAUAAUAAUAUUUUUUUAUUUACAUAAUAGUCUUUUAACAAAACUUUAGUUUAAAAAAAUUCAUAAGUUUAUGAAAAUAUUUUAAAAGUUAAAAAUAAAUAGGGUUAGUUAUCAACUUUUAUAAACAAAAUGUAUCUUUUGUAAAAUUAAAAUAGAAUCUUUUGAAAAUAUUCCUUUAUAGAGGUAAAAAUAGAGAAAUACAUUGGAAAGAAACUCAUCUCUAUUUUAGAGGUAAAAAUAGGGGAAUACAUUGGAGAUGGUCUUACAAAACUGGGACAAAGCUUCUUUUUUUUUUUUGCAUCGAAAGCUCCAUAUAGCACCAACCAAGUCUAGACCUCAGAGUUAACAAAAACAAAAGCCACGAGACGGAGCACCUUUCGCAAGGCGAUUGAUAUCACUUAAAUUAGCCUAAGUAGUGAUUUAUACUCUCUCAAAUAAGAAGUCGAAUUGUAGUACUUAGGGAUCGAAUUCACAGGGAGCUAGGGAACCUAAUAGAUCAAAUUUGAUUUGUUAAGUAAGAAGUUUUUAAGAUUUAAAAUGUAAAUUUGCAGUUUUGGUUGAGCAAGUAAUUGCUCGAUUAAUUGGUUCAGGUUUUGGUGCUUAAAAGGAAAUAGCUAGACUUAGGGUUUCUAUUCAGGAAACUUGGAAUUAUAAUCCUACAGAUGCCUAAUGAGUUGCAUGCAUGAUAAUGUAAAGCUCAACUGUCAAUUCAACAAGUCCAUCAGCUAUCGCAUGUUUGAACUCGUCUAUUAACUAUAUCUAAUGACCCAAACAGAUGUGUUCGAUCAAUAGCAGUGUCUAUCGAUGAUCCUAUAGGGAUUUCGGUCGAUACAUCUUUCGCUCCGUCAAUCGAUUAUCCAAUAUGAAUAUCGAUCGACGCGCUUCUAGUUAAGCUUUAUACGCGGGUUGAAUGAAUGCUUACUAAGCUCACUAGAUCAGCUCUCGCCUUACUCUUAGCAAGAAACUUAGCUCAGUUAGAAUGUUUUCAGGAUGAAAAUGAAGCUCUCGCUUUUAUCUAUCAAUUCUAGGGCAAGUUCUAGGUAGUUAAUCUAGAAACAUGCAUUAAUGAACAAUCCUAAUGACAAUUACCACAACUUAGCAAUCUAUAGUUGGGGAUAAUCCUUCAUAAUCUAUUUAAACCCUAAAUCUAACAGUGGAACUACUUAGACAUGGUCAAGCAAUUCAUGAAAGCAAUUAGGUUAGAAAACUUCAUAGAAUAGUAAAAUAGAUAUUAAUGGAGUUCCAAUCACAAAUUAUAACUUUGGAUCUUCUCUCCAACUAUCACAAUCCUAAAACCUUUAGCUGAAAGUAAUAAAUAUAAAAACACAGAAAAGCACACUUUGCCUCUGACAUGGUGGAAAAGUUUAUAUAGUUAGGUUAAAACUCGUCAAGAGUAAUCUUGUAAAUUGGUGAAGACUUGGGCUUCAAGUUGGCUGUGACCAAACAGGCUUUCAGCGUGCUUCGUUGUCGAUCGAUGUUCAAGUGUGAACAUCGAUCGAUAUUCCUCCUCCAAUAUCGACUGAUGGUCGAGCUCGAUGGUCAUCUCGGGUGCUUGCUCCAAAUAUAUCCAAAAUGCUCCAAAAUCAUCACUUAUCUCUAAAUCACUUCCUGAUCUUAUAAAUAUAAAAAUAGACUCUAUAAUAUAAUAAUAGAUAGUAAAAACACCUAUAAACUAUAGACGAAAAUGGGUCAAAUCCAUGGUCUAUCAGCGAUCAGCUCGGAGGUUCUUUAAACGUGAGACAAAAGAAAUGGAGCAUAACAAAAACUUAGAACGAAGAGUAAGGAAUUCAUCAAACUCAGCCAUAAGACUUGGCCAUUCUUCUUCUUCCUCAAUGAGCCUAACCAGUUGCAGGCAAUCUGAUUCAAAGGUCAUUGAUACGUGACCGAGAAAUUAGCGAGGAUUUCAUGGCCCACAGCAGAGUACCAAACUCUGCGUGUAGGGGAGACAGCGAUCGGUUACCAGCAAUCAUCACCACGAUCUACAGCGUUCCUCCAUAGUCUAUACCGAACUCCAAGCUUGUCAUAAGCAACAGGUAAGUUCCAUAUAUUUGCACCAUUCAACAUCCUUUCUUGCUGUCCCAAAACCAACCGUAGAUCUUCAUUUAAGACCUGCAAAAAACAGAUAAAAAAAACAUCAAGAUGAUCGAUAUUCAUUCAUUUAUUUCUUUCCUUUUUUUACCUGCUCAGCGAAAUGUCUCCAGAGAUGUUCCAUGAAUGGUAGAUUCUUCAAUAUUGGAGCAAAGUCUAGUGACAUUCGGUAUAGAAGUCUUGUCUUGUUUCUUGAAGAAGGUAAACAAACAUGGAGUUGAUGAAGAUGUGUUGCACACUGCUCAGUGCUCUUUCCUUCUAGCUUCCCUGGUUUUGAGAUUCCUAUUGUCGAUAACACGAUACAAGGUGGUUUAAAUUCCAUAUCGAUUGGAUACGGAUCCCAGUAUCCUUGAAGACCUGAAGAUGGUGUUAAGAACUUUACCAAGCUGCAAGAAAAGAGAGAAAAGGCUUUAAAAAAAAAAACAGGGAGUCAUUGUCAAUACUGAAACAGCGUAAUGAGAUUUUAGAAAACAAAACCUUGGGACACUCCAGCCUUUUGCAAAAGUAGAUGUGUGAGUGAAUGGAGCAUGCGCAAGAUCCAAGAGAUUAUCUAGUAGCAACCCGUGUUCCACCGGUAGGUCCAUUACAAGCUGAGAUUAUGUUAGAGAACAAAAAUGAGAUUUUAAAUGACAGGAAUCUACAACUGCUCAAAAAACUACUUGGAAUCUACAAGAUUUACCUCGGCAUGGAUUACAAACCCUGAUGGAGGCUGUAAAGAAGGAAGUGUGGGUGAAGGUGGCUCAUCACCGGGCCAAACCCAGACCAUGCCGUCUUGUUCAAGACAAGGUAUCGAUUUUAUCUUCACAUUCAGUAGCUUUGUAGAUGGCAUCUUCGUACACUUUCCAUCAGUUGAGUAUUCCCAUCCUACAAGAUCACACUCGAAAAGAUGCUCUAAAUAAAAUGGUUUAAAAAUCAACAAAACACAGAGAAUGAGUUACUAACCGUGGUAAGGACACUGGAUACGACCAUUGUUCACCGAGCCAAGAUCAAGAGGACACGCUCUAUGUGCACAUGUGUUCCGUACACAUCCUGGUUUCCCAUCUUCCCCUCUGAAGAUAACCCAUGGUUGCUCAAAGCAGUCAAUUGGUACCUUAAGGAGACGCAAUAUCAUUUUUAUUAUAUAUAUAUAUAUAUAUUUUGGAAUGACAGGGAAAAGACAAGAAAAAACAUUUUAUACCAUACCAUCGUGUCAUGCUUAAGAUCUGCAGUGAAAGCAACGGGAUACCAAAAGUUCUUCAAGUGUGGACUAUAAGGCUGAACGGGACCAGAAACAUUCAAGCUUUUCCCACCAACCCUGUCUGAGUCCUGGACUGAGGUUGAAUAGGAAGGUCUGUCUGAUUCUGUCGCAACUCUAACUGGUAAUAACCUAUCAUUAACCAAUUCUUCCAUGUGAGCUAACUUUUCUAGAGCAGUUGAAACCCUCGCUUCUGAUAUAUGAACCUGUUUUAGAUUUUGACUAAGAGUUAGAACAAGUGAGCACCAAUAUAAAAAAAAAAACGCAAUUCUUAAGAACAUG
RNAcentral lists this long non-coding RNA (5054 nucleotides) under Brassica napus (rape). RNAcentral's name for it is "long non-coding RNA (BNAP_LNC018124)". The record is from RNAcentral. Lineage: Eukaryota; Viridiplantae; Streptophyta; Magnoliopsida; Brassicales; Brassicaceae.